CUUGAUCGAGCCGAGCCACAGCGGACGGCCGUCGGGCCGGUUCUGCCCGUACGUGGCGAGCAGGGCCUGCGCCUC
Molecule: antisense RNA, 75 nt
Filed under: Streptomyces malaysiensis
Lineage: Bacteria; Bacillati; Actinomycetota; Actinomycetes; Kitasatosporales; Streptomycetaceae
Description: ASpks TB sRNA
Rfam family: ASpks TB sRNA
Source: Rfam by way of RNAcentral